AACUUUCCCUGAAUCUCCUGACUAUGGUGGAGGAGUGUGGAUCCUGGAACUAAACUGAGGUGAUAGGGAGGAAAAGAGAGAAAUCAACAGUAAACGCUGCACAUCCUCUGUCUGGUAAAUGUGCAUCACUGAUUGUAUCCAAUCUAGAUUCAACCAGAGAGACGGAAGCAUUAAGAAUGACAUAGAAUAUGGAAUUUGCUAUAGGGAUUUGAGCUUCUACAUUUGCGGGAAGGAGCGAGUUGAACACUUAGGAACAGCUGUUGCUGCCGUGUCUGGUGGGGGGCCUGAGAGUGGCAGGACAAGCAGCCUGCCCCAGAAGUGGAAGAAACUGAAAGUGGAGUCCUGAGAGCUGAAUCUGCCGCAGGCCCGCGGGCCGCCCGGGAAUUAGGAAAGUUAGAGGGGAUCCACGCCCACAAGUGCUAUGGACUCUGAUCGCCCAACCAGAGCAAACCCAGAAGGACAACUCUCCAAGCCUUUCAAUCACUCCCACUAACCCGUAUUGUGGACACACUAUUGUGAGGCCUACUAAGGAUGUACUGCUGAUGACCUUUUGAAGAGUGGCUAGUGGUUGGCCCAUGUAGGCUGAGCUCAGCUGGUCCAUCCUUCUUGGACCCACAGACUCCCUGGGGCAUGUUCUUCUCAUGAUGAUGACUGCAACACAAGAGGGCAAGACAUCCUACACAAGCACAUUUCAAGAUUUUGCUCACAUCAUCUCUGCUAAAAUUCCUUUAUCCAAAGCAAGGAACACAACUGGUUCAAAUAAGCACAGGCCUCCAAAUAUCCAGAUCUAAAAAUGGAGUGUUCACCUCAAGCUCCUUAUUUAUCACUGCAAGAGAUUCUGGGGCUGGCAGCUAGUGACAUGAGCUGGAAUCCUCUUCCUGAAAUUGCUGUCUUCUUGGAUGGGCUCUCCACAUCUUCCACCACGAAGUAAAAACAAUUCUUGUGGGUGCCAGUGGACCUGCUCUGCAGACCCAGGCUCCUCUCCCAUGGAGCAUCCCAAGUCUGUCCUUAUGGGAAGAAGCAGGAGCCCUGUCUGGCUGUACCCCAAGCUGCUUUCUCUGGACCAAUGCUGUCAGCGAUAGAGGGAACCCUUCCACCAUCAUGUGAAGAAGCCUGGUCUAGCCUGCUGGAGGAUGAGAGAUCACAUGGAAUGAGGCCACAAUCGUUCCAGCCAAAGCCCCAGUAAUAGAAUUAAGAUCAUCCAAGACCAUGGCAUCCCGCCUGAGAAGUUCAGAUGAGAAGGGCCACCUGAACAACCAACAGAAUCUUAAAAAGUAAAAAAUGAGUGUUGCCACUAUGCAUCUAUUAGAAUGGCAGAAAUCGAAGACACUGACAACAACAAAUGCUGGUGAGGAUGUGGAGCAACAGGAACUCUCACUCACUGAAGAUGGAAAUGCAAAAUAGUGCAGCUACUUUGGAAAACAGCUACUUUGGCUGUUUCUUACAACACUAAAUAUGCUAUUAUUAUAUGAUCCAGAAGUUUUGCUCCUUAGCACUUACCCAAAAAAGUUGAAAACUUAUGUACACACAAAAACCUGCACAUGGAUAUUCACAGCAGUUUUUGAUAUGGUUUGGCUCUGUGUCCCCACAGAAAUCUCAUCUUGUAUUUGUAUAAAUUUAUGGGGUACAAGAGUAAUUUUGUUAGCAUGCAUAGACAUGCAUAGACUGCAUAGCUCCCAUAAUUCCCACAUGUUGUGGGAGGGACCAGGUGGGAGGUGAUUGAAUCAUAGGGGCAGGUCUUUCCUGUCUUGUUCUUGUGAUAGUGAGUGGGUCUCACAAGAUCUGAUGGUUUUAAAUAACAGGAAUUUAUCUGCACAAGCUCUUUUAUUUUGCCUGCUGCCAUCCACAUAAGAUGUGACUUGCUCCUCCUUGCCUUCUGCCAUGAUUGUGAGGCCUCCCCAGCCAUGUGGAACUGUAAAUCCAAUUAAAUCUCUUUCUUUUGUAAAUUGCC
RNAcentral lists this long non-coding RNA (1951 nucleotides) under Homo sapiens (human). Its description in RNAcentral is "non-protein coding LINC00652:2". The record is from RNAcentral. Lineage: Eukaryota; Metazoa; Chordata; Mammalia; Primates; Hominidae.